AAGUUACAUCUUUACCUCUAUCCCUAACAUGGGAUGCCGAGGUGCAGAGGCACCGGCACCGCCCUGCCAUCACUCUCGUGGAUAUGGACCCGAUUAGGCGUCCUUCUUCCUUCUGCCCACACCAAGGCCCCCCAGGCCGCCGCCGCUCACCGGGAACCUUCCCAGGGGAGUGGCGGAGGGGCGAGGCCAUGGUGCAGGGACCUGCAAGAGGGGCCUGACCCUGAUCGAGAGGGGCCGAUGGGCAGCCAGGUGGGCCUGUGGGUUUACCUUGUUGAGCGUGGUGGGAUCCAAGACCAGGAGUUCCAUUAUUCUGCCUUUGGUUGAAAGCAGCACCCCAAACUCCUUAUCAGAGAAAGAUGGCCAUGUGAAGACGGAGAGACACACAAGGAGAACACCGUGUUAAGAUGAAGGCAGAUACUGAAUUGCUGCAAGUUGAGGAACACCAAAGACUGAUGGCAAACCACCAGAAGCAAGGAAGAGGCAAGGAAGGAUUGCCAUACAGGCUUCAGAAGGAACAUGGCUCUGCUGACAUCUUGAUUUUGGACUUUUAGUCUCCA
This is a long non-coding RNA of Macaca mulatta (Rhesus monkey), 557 nucleotides long. RefSeq lists it as uncharacterized. The record is from RefSeq and is a predicted model, not a curated record. NCBI's taxonomy places the organism in Eukaryota, Metazoa, Chordata, Mammalia, Primates, Cercopithecidae.